This is a long non-coding RNA of Aquila chrysaetos chrysaetos, 959 nucleotides long. RefSeq lists it as uncharacterized. The transcript has 5 exons. Lineage: Eukaryota; Metazoa; Chordata; Aves; Accipitriformes; Accipitridae. The record is from RefSeq and is a predicted model, not a curated record.
UGCAGUACAGGCAGCUUGGAUGAAAUGUCCGUCUCCUACUGUCCUUCCUUCAGCUUCAUUCUGAGCAUGGGAUCAUAGCACCCACCUUGGGAACAGCACUGGCCCAGCAAGAGCAGAGGAGCCUUCAGUACACGGGAACCUUUGAGGUGGGCACCAGUGGCUAAGGUUCAGUGUUUGGCACAGAAGCAGUGAGAAGCCUGAACAGUGUUUUACUGGGGCAGCCACCACAGGAGGAAAAGAGAUUUUUGCCUCUCAGGAUGCCACCAAGAAAGACGAGCACCACCAUGGAAGAGGUUGCCAGGACAGAAAAGAGCUUCUCCAAAAGGUGACAGAGUGGAUGUAAUAAGCUGAUAAGUAGGUACAACUCUAGCUUCCCCCGACUCCCUGUGUGGCAGCCAGAGGAGCUAACUCAGGGGGAAACAGCCUUUUGCCUCUGAGGAGUCACAUCCCGGUCAUUCCACCAGCGUUCACCAUUACUGCAUGUCGUUUCAGCUAAACAGGGUGAAUAUAUGACCUUCUCAAGACUGCCUAGGGAAUGUAAAUGGCUGCAAGAUACGGCAUGCAAGAGAGGUGCACAGCAAAGUGAAGGUGCUUGCCUGCCAGGGAUAACAGAGGAGAACACGUGGGCUCGAGUCCCUCUGUAGCAGAGAAGGGAGGAUUGAACAAGGGUCCCCCCAAUCCUGAGGGUGUUAGCUCACCCAGCGCUGAUGGGAACACUGCACUGCUUGCAGUUGUCCAGCCCCAGCUGAAAAAGACUUUUUUGCUGCUCAGUUUGUAAAAGACAGACACUGGCACCUUUCCCCUCUGGAGAACGGAUGGAGGUAUGUCCCUGAAAAUCCCUGAGGAAAAUCCUACUUUUCCAUGCCGGCUUUGGUUUCUGAUGCCAGUAGGCAUUUUCCUGGGGAGCGUGGGGUAUCAAGCGGACCCUGCUCAGGGCUACCGACUUCAGCUCAGGUUGC